AUUGAACGCUGGCGGCAUGCUUUACACAUGCAAGUCGAACGAGUGGCGGACGGGUGAGUAAUGCUUGGGAAUCUAGCUUAUGGAGGGGGAUAACUACGGGCAACUGUAGAUAAUACCGCGUAACAUAGGAUGAGCCCAAGUGGGGUUAGGUACUUGGUGAGGUAAAGGCUAACCAAGAAGACGAUCUCUAGCUGGUCUGAGAGGAUGACCAGCCACACGGGGACUGAGUCAGGGCCCAGACUCCUACGGGAGGCAGCAGGGGGGAUGAUUGCGCAAUGGGGGCAACCUGACGCAGCCAGGCCGCGUGAAUGAAGAAGGCCUUGGGGUUGUAAAGUUCUUUCGGUAGCGAGGCGUUAACUACAGAAGAAGCACCGGCUAACUCCGUGCCAGCAGCCGCGGUAAUUC
RNAcentral lists this ribosomal RNA (405 nucleotides) under uncultured bacterium. RNAcentral describes it as "partial 16S ribosomal RNA". It matches the Rfam family "Bacterial small subunit ribosomal RNA", at positions 30 to 526 of the family's 1533-position model. The record is from RNAcentral.